CAGGAGGUAGUUUAUUGAAAAAUAUUAAUUUUGGAAAUUAAUGAUAAAGAAAUUCUUUUCUCUUGA
Molecule: transfer RNA, 66 nt
Filed under: Muscina levida
Lineage: Eukaryota; Metazoa; Arthropoda; Insecta; Diptera; Muscidae
Description: tRNA-Pro
Rfam family: tRNA
About the family: Transfer RNA (tRNA) molecules are approximately 80 nucleotides in length. Their secondary structure includes four short double-helical elements and three loops (D, anti-codon, and T loops).
Source: RNAcentral